GGAAUAUUGGACAAUGGGCGAAAGCCUGAUCCAGCCAUGCCGCGUGUGUGAAGAAGGCCUUUUGGUUGUAAAGCACUUUAAGCGGGGAGGAGGGCACCACGGUUAAUACCCGUGAAUGUCGGACGUUACCCGCAGAAUAAGCACCGGCUAACUCUGUGCCAGCAGCCGCGGUAAUACAGAGGGUGCGAGCGUUAAUCGGAAUUACUGGGCGUAAAGCGCGCGUAGGCGGCUUGUUAAGUCAAAUGUGAAAUCCCCGAGCUUAACUUGGGCAUUGCAUUCGAUACUGGCAAGCUAGAGUAUGGGAGAGGAAGGUAGAAUUCCAGGUGUAGCGGUGAAAUGCGUAGAGAUCUGGAGGAAUACCGAUGGCGAAGGCAGCCUUCUGGCCUAAUACUGACGCUGAGGUGCGAAAGCAUGGGGAGCAAACAGGAUUAGAUACCCUGG
Molecule: ribosomal RNA, 441 nt
Filed under: uncultured Alkanindiges sp.
Lineage: Bacteria; Pseudomonadati; Pseudomonadota; Gammaproteobacteria; Moraxellales; Moraxellaceae
Description: bacterial SSU rRNA
Rfam family: Bacterial small subunit ribosomal RNA
Source: RNAcentral